Non-coding RNA from Chiloscyllium plagiosum (whitespotted bambooshark), 2328 nucleotides. The record is from RefSeq and is a predicted model, not a curated record. NCBI's taxonomy places the organism in Eukaryota, Metazoa, Chordata, Chondrichthyes, Orectolobiformes, Hemiscylliidae.
UGACCCAGCAACACAGAAGGAACAACAAUAUAUUUCCACGUCAGGAUGAUGAAUGGUUCGCAAGGGAACUAGCUGGUGGGAAAAGCACAGGAAGAGGAAAUCAGUCAGAGCUCUUCCUCCUCCUAAUUACUACAGAACUACUCACUCCAAAACACGAGGAUGUACCUCAGGUGAAAACAGGAUCAGGUUAGAUUCUGAUGCCACCUAUAGUCAAGCAGUAUGCUAACGUGCAACAUCUGAGAUUAGACAUGAGGAUUAGCCAGACACAGAAGCAAUCCUUCGCAAUGUGAACUGAACCUCAGAAGCAGUCAACAGCUUCAGGAAAGAAGGGGACAAACAUCGGGGCAAAAUAAAUACAAGCAUGAUGCUACCAGAACUGCUGAGUUUCUUCAGCAUUCCCUGUGUUUGUUUCUACUGAAUAUCUACUGGAUAUUGCAAUCAAGAUCAAAAUUAUUUCAGAGGAAAUCACUGGUACAAUGAAAAACUCUAAUCACUGGGCUGCAGUGCAAGACAUUGUUUUCCUAUUAAAGUGGAUUUUACAUGACAGCAGGAUAUUGCUAAAAGGAUUUCAUCACAUUGCCUUCACCUGCCAAGUCAGUCAGCUCUCAACAUGUAUGUGCAAGGAACGGUGAGGUCCCAAGAGCCUGGCCAGCGGGAGAAUCACUUUCAAUCUCUGGAGCAGGCAUUUAAAAUUAUUAAAAUUGCUACUUCACACAUCGCCAUCAGCAGUUUCUCACAGCUGGGGGAAUUAAUACCUAGCUAUUGUAUCAUGUUUUAUAUUUGCAACUAAAGUUGAAGACUGCAUUAAAUUAAAUUUAAUCUACCAGAAAAUAAUUCAUUCUAGAUGUCAUCUUUCCAACCACAUGAAAAGGCGUUUUUGAAGGAGCAGCAGAAUGAUUGAUUAAGUGAAUUGAUUUCUGACAGAUGACCACAAAGUUGAACAACAGAGACCCACUUAAACGACACCAGUGAUCAACCUCGUGACCCUUAACUGUGCCGACUCCAGCAACUGAAAUGACUAGACAUGGAUGCAGUAAUCAUCUGACCAAAAUACAAUACAAUUGGCUGCAACUUUCUCAGAAUUGUAAGCUGCUGUUUUGACUACAUUUUGUGUGGUAUUCUAUUUGCUUUGCUGAUUUUAAUGGUGGAACAUAACUAUAAAGUUCUAAAGCCUAUCAAUCUCCUUCUACUUCAUGUUUAGCUGUUUCAACAUCAAUCAGGUAUACAUAUGCUAUCAAAUUUUUCUUACAUUGUGCAGUACAGGACCUUAACUGUAUUAAAUUUCUUUAGUUGUUAUUUCAUCAAAUAAUAUUUCCAUGUUGCCAGUUCAAAAGCCAACUAAAACUGAGACUCUGAAUUCCAGUUAUUUAUGAGAUUUAACAAUACUAAUGAUCUUGUUACAAAUAUCUGGGGAGAUCCAACACAACAUUUGCUCCAACCUAAUAUCAGAACAAAUAAUUCCUACUUCUUUUCCCCUUCUAGCUAGGUUUCUUUCUAUUCCUAUCCUGAACCUUCAAUGCUUUGGACUUAAUAAGUAGGCUUUCACGUGGAUCUUUUGCCAAUUGUAUUAGGGACUAAAAAGUGUGUAUUCAUACAGUGUAUUUAAAAGACUCAUGAUAUCUUAAACUGCUUUAUUGCUAUUGAAGUAUGUUUGAAGUGAAGUCAAUGUUAUUUGUAGCAAUGUUGUAAUAAAUCAUAUUGCAAUCUGGACAUAGUUUAAUAUAACAUAAACAUGGGCUCUGCACUCAGCUCAAGGAACCUGAACUUGGAAUCCUACUGGUAUCGCUAAGUUACGCAUUGGGUCUUCUUGCCAAAUGAUUUAAUGGGUGCAUUUUAAUCACUAAUUAGCUGGAUUGUAAGAUGCACUGGUGAAGACUGAAUUUGGUGCCAAACUUGAGGAAUUUGCUAGUUGUGUCUGAAAAUCUUUGAAUGAGACGUUGAUGAUGCAAUGAGGAAGAAGUAGUCACUUGUGUUUAUAUGGAACAGAAAAUCCAAGAUGUGUGGCAAAUAAUCAAGAGCAGCCACUGGACACAUUUCUUUAAUUUACUGAUACCACACAAACAGAUGAGUGCUUUUUGAUUUGGAAUCAACAUCGCAUAGAAAUUGCAGAGAUUGGAUAGCAAAAUGAUACUGUUUUCUUCCAGGAAAGUUUAGCGGGUGGACUUGCAUUCACUUCCAAAAUUAUGCUUUAAACAAAUGGUAAAUUUGGAAGAGAAAUAAAGAUUUGAAUUUAAAUGCAUUGAUCCGGUUUACUUUUAUGUACAAUCAAAUGUGCGUUGCACGCUUCUAUUACAGGACUCAUGAAUAUUAAAAUGAAAUUUCCUAAAA